Long non-coding RNA from Vitis riparia (riverbank grape), 961 nucleotides. RefSeq lists it as uncharacterized. The transcript is spliced from 2 exons. Lineage: Eukaryota; Viridiplantae; Streptophyta; Magnoliopsida; Vitales; Vitaceae. The record is from RefSeq and is a predicted model, not a curated record.
UUGUUAGCUUCUGUAUUGGUUUAUCUGUUUGGAAUUUGUGAUUUAUACCAGAAUCGAGACAUCUUCAGAAUAUGUUUGCUCCUAUGAAUAAAUUCAAGCAAUGCAUGGUUGACUCAUUAGUACUCUUUUGUUGCUGCAGAUUACAUGCUCCACUCUAGGCCAGUUGCUUGAUUCUGUUCUUGAACAGGAGGGUUUCCAGAUUGGUUCAGUAUGUGGAAAGAAAAAAAGGAAAGCAAUAAAGCUUCAUAAAUCUGACCUAUACAGUGAUGUUAUUCGCAAAGAUGUUAUUUUGCUACUAAAGAAAGACAGAGAGAAUACAACUCCUCCCAUGACCAUGCCAAGCAGCUCAUAGCAGCAACUGCUUCCUCUGCCCCCAGGAGACCCUAUUUUACAACAACAAUCACACCAACCAACUACGACCGUGGUUACCCUUAUCUGGUCAGCUUUUGCCUUCUCUUUUCCAUCUCAGGGUUUAUUUUUCUGUUUAAAUCAUAUCAAAGAUGAUAUAUAUUCACUGAGACAUGGCCUAAUUAAUAUUUGAGUUGGGUGGGGCAGAAUAUCCCCAGAGAAUUUUGGAGAUCAAAUGAUAUCAUAACUAAGGCAGCAUAAGCUCUCAGAGAUCCACUGAAUAGGUGGUGGCCAGUGAAACUUAGAUUACCAAGCGGGGCAUCGGUUAAGCUGGGGAUGUGGUUGGCAUGAGUACUAUGAAUCCAAGAAGCUCAAGGUAGGAGAUCCUCUUCGUCUUUGAGCUCAAUCCCACCUCACCAGAAACUCCAAAUCCUGUUCUAGAUGUUUGAACCCUUCCUCCACAGAAGAAGAUACUACUUAUAUUUUGAUGGUUGAUUCUCCGUGAUUUUUUGUUUUUGGUUAUGAAUGUUUUUGAAUUUGGAAAAAAUGUGGUGUUUGCUCGAGCAGAUUCUCUGAUCUACCUUAUUAAUCAUUUCUUUGGCCGGUUUGUCUA